CUCACAGAGAAAAAAUAAAUUAAUUUCUUUCAAGGCAAUCCAUCUGAUUUGAGUUGUUCAUUUAACAGAGGAAAGUGAAGUUGAAAAGCAAGUCUCCAAAGGCCAGCUCUGACAGAGCAAGAAGAUACCUGGAAAGCUUUGAGAGCUACUGCUCAUUCAGCAGCUUAUGGUUCCUUCUGGAGAUCUAACUUAGCCUGGAAACUUGGAAGGGUUGAUGCCACCUUGCCUUGGACAUCGUCAAUUCAACAGCGCUACAGGGAAAAGAACAAAGUGAAGGAUUUAUUGUAGGACGGCAUUAGCAAGGGUGUGGUAAGGGACAAGACUGAGACCAAAACCUAACUGUGUACUGUAAAUGCAAAGGAAAGAAGGGAUAACUCACCUCUCUUUUAUCACUUCCACAGUGCAUUUCAUUCCAAAAACAACAGAGACUUUUAUCUGAAAGUCCUUGGAUGACCGAUCCCAUUUAAAUUCAGCCUAAGCCUCUGCAGGCUGGAGUGAGGCCUGACCAUGCUGUGAGGCGGGGCCAGCAGGGACCCCAAAUAUUUUCAAGCUCUAAAAAAGCACGGUCAGAUUAUUGUUUCAAAAGAAUGAUUAACACCUCUCUGAACUGAAAUCAAAUUUGAGCACGAAAAGCCAGGAAAGGGGAUUUCUGUUCCUCCCUGAGGUGCAUGCAAAGUCUUUCUUGGAAGAAAGAAGUGGCCGUAUUUUCCUUUCAGGUUUAUCUCACAGGCAUGUGAAAGGCACUUGGGGCUUCCCAAACCAUCAAUUAAAUGCUGUGAGAAUUUGUAAAAGUUAACAAGGGGAAGAGGGAGUUAUUUGAGAAUUUCUAAACAAUUUUAAGCAGGAACAUGGAAAAAUUACCGAGCACACAUUUUAAAAUCAUCAUAUUGCAAGAUUCUAAAAUCUUUGUCUCAAAAUCUCACUGCUAGAUUAAGCUUGGCCACAGAAAACGAGACAGGAGGGCUAUUGACUUUAAUUUAGAUUCAGAAAGAGUGGUACUACCUAGCCUUGCCUCCCAAGCUAGGAAAUGUCUCCUGAGGAGAACCAGUACAGCUAACACUCCAGCCUCCUCUCCCUCAAAGCUGCCAUGUCGUAAAGGGUUUACAGUAUUGUAGAGUGGCAUCCCCCUUUCCUCCUGCCCACUCCAA
Molecule: long non-coding RNA, 1148 nt
Filed under: Parus major (Great Tit)
Lineage: Eukaryota; Metazoa; Chordata; Aves; Passeriformes; Paridae
Description: lncRNA (ENSPMJG00000011629.1)
Source: RNAcentral